RNAcentral lists this ribosomal RNA (253 nucleotides) under uncultured bacterium. Its description in RNAcentral is "partial 16S ribosomal RNA". It matches the Rfam family "Bacterial small subunit ribosomal RNA", at positions 524 to 776 of the family's 1533-position model. The record is from RNAcentral.
UACGGAGGGAGCUAGCGUUGUUCGGAAUUACUGGGCGUAAAGCGCGCGUAGGCGGCUGUUCAAGUCAGAGGUGAAAGCCCGGGGCUCAACCCCGGAACUGCCUUUGAGACUGCGUCGCUCGAAUCCGGGAGAGGCGGGUGGAAUUCCGAGUGUAGAGGUGAAAUUCGUAGAUAUUCGGAAGAACACCAGUGGCGAAGGCGGCUCACUGGACCGUUGUUGACGCUGAGGUGCGAAAGCGUGGGGAGCAAACAGG